Molecule: ribosomal RNA, 267 nt
Filed under: uncultured soil bacterium
Lineage: Bacteria
Description: partial 16S ribosomal RNA
Rfam family: Bacterial small subunit ribosomal RNA
Source: RNAcentral
AGAAUCAACGCAGGCGGCGUGCCUAACACAUGCAAGUCGAACGCGAAAGGGGCUUCGGCCCUGAGUAGAGUGGCAAACGGGUGAGUAACACGUGGGUGACCUGCCUCAGAGUGGGGGAUAACGUCCCGAAAGGGACGCUAAUACCGCAUAACAUCCUGCCUUUGGAAAGGCGGAGAUCAAAGCCGGGGAUCGCAAGACCUGGCGCUUGGAGAGGGGCCCGCGUCUGAUUAGCUAGUUGGUGGGUAAUGGCCUACCAAGGCAACGAUC